AGAAAGCAUCUCUAGAGCUCAUUCUGUGUUCAAGUCUCGAACGGGCAACAGCUCCCAAAAUUAUUUGUGCUAAAAAAUAUUAAAUAAAAAUUUCGUCAAAAAAAAUUAAAGUGAAAAAAAAUAAAAAAUUUAAAAUCCCAAAAUUAUUUGUGCUAAAAAAUAUUAAAUUUCGACAAAAAAGAAAUUAAAGUGAAAAAAAAAAAUUGAAAAUUCCUUGCAUCUAGUGUGCCUUGAUUUUGGAUUAGAAAUAAUUGAAUAAUAGCAGUCAAGGGAUUUUUAGCUAUUGUUUUAUUAAAAUCACAAAAAAAAAAGCAAAACAGUCGCAGCCUUAUCCGCCGCAGAUGCGUCUUGGAGACAAUGAUAUAACAUUCAAGAUACAUAUUCAUUAAUAUUUGAUUAGACAGUUCUUGCUCCUGACCCUUCAUAUAUUCAGUAACUGAAGAGAAAUAACGUGUGGAGGACUUCAUAUCCAUAGUAGCUACAAAAGCGCCAUAUGACUUGUUUUGGUUCUUGGACGAGUGGCAUACACUAUAGAGUGCAAAAUAUACCAGAUUGUCAGCCAAAGCAUAAACAAGAUAUGUUUGCUUCAUGCCAGAUUUACAUCAAGCAACCCUCGCAACUUCGUUGUAACUGCUUAAAAACAUUGAUGCUAUAUGUUCAUUGAUUGUGCUUAUCGAUCUAGGCUAGACUAAGCUGCUGGCCAAUAGCUGAAUUAAUUUUUGGCGUAUAUUCUAUUCCCUGGCUAUAGUGCGAACAAUCUAGAACCAAUUGAGAA
Molecule: long non-coding RNA, 775 nt
Organism: Drosophila nasuta
Lineage: Eukaryota; Metazoa; Arthropoda; Insecta; Diptera; Drosophilidae
Exons: 2
Source: RefSeq, a predicted model, not a curated record